Molecule: ribosomal RNA, 253 nt
Filed under: uncultured bacterium
Lineage: Bacteria
Description: partial 16S ribosomal RNA
Rfam family: Bacterial small subunit ribosomal RNA
Source: RNAcentral
UACGAAGGGGGCUAGCGUUGUUCGGAAUUACUGGGCGUAAAGCGCACGUAGGCGGAUCGAUCAGUCAGGGGUGAAAUCCCAGGGCUCAACCCUGGAACUGCCUUUGAUACUGUCGAUCUGGAGUAUGGAAGAGGUGAGUGGAAUCCCGAGUGUAGAGGUGAAAUUCGUAGAUAUUCGGAGGAACACCAGUGGCGAAGGCGGCUCACUGGUCCAUUACUGACGCUGAGGUGCGAAAGCGUGGGGAGCAAACAGG